Molecule: ribosomal RNA, 497 nt
Filed under: uncultured bacterium
Lineage: Bacteria
Description: partial 16S ribosomal RNA
Rfam family: Bacterial small subunit ribosomal RNA
Source: RNAcentral
GAUGAACGCUGGCGGCGUGCCUAAUACAUGCAAGUCGAGCGAACGGACGAGAAGCUUGCUUCUCUGAUGUUAGCGGCGGACGGGUGAGUAACACGUGGAUAACCUACCUAUAAGACUGGGAUAACUUCGGGAAACCGGAGCUAAUACCGGAUGAUCUUUUGAACCGCAUGGUUCAAAAGUGAAAGACGGUCUUGCUGUCACUUAUAGAUGGAUCCGCGCUGCAUUAGCUAGUUGGUACGGUAACGGCUUACCACGGCAACGAUGCAUAGCCGACCUGAGGGAGGGGUCGGCCGCACUGGAGCUGGAACGCGGUCCAGGCGCCUACGGGAGGCAGCAGUAGGGAAUCUUCCGCAGUGGGCGAAAGCCUGACGGAGCAACGCCGCGUGAGUGAUGAAGGUCUUCGGAUCGUAAAACUCUGUUAUUAGGGAAGAACAUAUGUGUAAGUAACUGUGCACAUCUUGACGGUACCUAGUCAGAAAGCCACGGCUAACUACGUG